CCCAAAAAGCGAAUUCCAAUAUAUGUUUUCUGCUUUAUGUGCGCAUCCUCUACCUAUUAAGUGUUAAUUAAAUUAAAGGGUUUCUUUUUAAAAUCUUCUAUAACUAAUAAAAAAUAUGGAAGAUUUUGUUACUUUGAGUAAAUUAGAGUGUUCAAAGCAAACAGAUAAUAUAGCAUUUGUGCGUUUGAAUACUACAGCAUGGAAUAACAAAAUUGAACAGGUCAAAACUAUGUUUCUUUUUUUUUAUUUUUGGCUUAGUUACGAUUAAUAGGAGUAGUUUGGGGACAUUUGUAUUCAGAUGUCAGAGGUGAAAUUCUAAGAUUUUCUGGAGACAAACAACUGCGAAGGCAUUUGUCUAAAAUACUUCCAUUAAUCAAGAACGAAAGUUAAGGGAGUGAAGACGAUCAGAUACCGUCGUAAUCUUAACCAUAAACUAUACCGACUAGGUUUUGGAUGAAAGUAAAACAAAUAAGGAUAGUCUCUUCGGGGAUAGUUCUUAGAUUUCUUCCUUCAGUACCUUAUGAGAAAUCAAAGUCUUUGGGUUCUGGGGCGAGUAUUCGCGCAAGCGAGAAAGUUAAAAGAAUUGACGGAAGGGCACCACCAGGCGUGGAGCUUGCGGCUUAAUUUGACUCAACACGGGAAAACUCACUAGUUUAAGACAAGAGUAGGAUUGACAGAUUAAUAGCUCUUUCUUGAUUUCUUGGAUGGUGAUGCAUGGCCGUUUUUAGUUCGUGAAUAUGAUUUGUCUGGUUAAUUCCGAUAACGAACGAGAUCUUAACCUGCUAAUUAGCAGUAAGUACAACAUAUUUCUAUGCUGAAUUUGUAUUUGGAUAAUUUAAAAGGUUUUUUUGCCGUGCAUAUAAUGAGUACGGAAAAAAUGCAUACUGCUACCUUGUACCUAAUAAUACUUGGCGCGCCUAUGCAUAUUUCCAACCCUCUAUUCCCUGUACCGCAAUAAAACUGGAUUAUGAUGCCAUUUCACUUUUAUGUAGAAAUGUAUUUGCUUU
RNAcentral lists this ribosomal RNA (1007 nucleotides) under Plasmodium knowlesi. Its description in RNAcentral is "SSU rRNA". It matches the Rfam family "Eukaryotic small subunit ribosomal RNA", at positions 639 to 1410 of the family's 1831-position model. Lineage: Eukaryota; Apicomplexa; Aconoidasida; Haemosporida; Plasmodiidae. The record is from RNAcentral.